GGUCUGGUGGUGUAGUUGGUUAUCACGUCAGUCUAACAUGUCGAGGCUCUCGCCGGCCUCCGCCUUGGUUACACUGAAGGUCUCCGGUUCAAGUCCGGGCUAGAUCA
RNAcentral lists this transfer RNA (107 nucleotides) under Colletotrichum chlorophyti. It matches the Rfam family "tRNA". Rfam says of the family: Transfer RNA (tRNA) molecules are approximately 80 nucleotides in length. Their secondary structure includes four short double-helical elements and three loops (D, anti-codon, and T loops). Lineage: Eukaryota; Fungi; Ascomycota; Sordariomycetes; Glomerellales; Glomerellaceae. The record is from Rfam by way of RNAcentral.